Molecule: long non-coding RNA, 937 nt
Organism: Solea solea (common sole)
Lineage: Eukaryota; Metazoa; Chordata; Actinopteri; Pleuronectiformes; Soleidae
Exons: 4
Source: RefSeq, a predicted model, not a curated record
AAAGAGGCCGGAAUUAUCCCAAAGUAACACAUAGACAUUGGAUUAGCUGUUAUCACUGGAAUUAUACACCAAAAAGUGAGUUAUGAUGAUAAACCAUCAAAGGUGUGAGUCUUUUCUGUUUUCAGAUCCAGGCUGGGCCUCCUUCCAGUCACCGAGGUGGUCAGGCUCUUUCCAUACGACGAAGCAGGCUCGAGAGUAAUGGAUCCAUUUAGCAGUAAUAUUCCUUAAUGGAAACAGCCUAAUUACAACCACAAAUAACCACAAGCUUUCACAAAGGAUAAACGAUACAAAAGCAGAAAGAAGGCAGAUCUGUUUCCCAGAGGUAUUUGAUGGGAGAGCCAAAGAGGGAGGAAGUGUGGGUCUGCAGCCCCCGUGUUAACAAUGGCUCUCCUCAGACCCCCGGCCCAGGACCAGCCAGUCAUGAAACACCAUGGAGAUGUUAUUGACCUCAAGGUUAACUCUCCUCAGCUCCGUUCCUCAAACACACAUCUGAGGACAAAAGGCGGGGAUGCUCGCCAAGGAAAGGGAGGACGAGCGUCGCCUCGGGCCAAUCACAGCCGCCCCUGAGAUUGCGCUACUACUCACGCCAAUAUGGGCUCCGUACUUAAAAGGCAAGAACAGGUCCGUCUGGUGAGUUGCACAGACUCUACAUUGGUUUACCUGUUUCCAUCCACCAUCAGUCAUCCACAGAGGGACGGUGAAGCGUCGGGCAGGAGAGCGCCGUACAAAGACUUUCUUUAUCACGGCAGGGCUUCGGUUUUCACCAGCUUAUCAAGAUCUCCCGCGAGCGUGCUGAAAAAAAAAACACCCCCUACACAUAUGAUAGACGGUAUAGAUUUUGCAAACCACACACAUACACACACACAUUUUUUGCAUAUGCAGUACACAAUGUGUGUUAAUGACAGAUAGAAAAAAGGCAUUAUAAAACAAGCUACUG